CCUACGGGUGACAGCAGUGAGGAAUAUUGGUCAAUGGACGAGAGUCUGAACCAGCCAAGUAGCGUGAAGGAUGACUGCCCUAUGGGUUGUAAACUUCUUUUAUACAGGAAUAAAACGAGGCACGUGUGCCUUUUUGCAUGUACUUUAUGAAUAAGGAUCGGCUAACUCCGUGCCAGCAGCCGCGGUAAUACGGAGGAUCCGAGCGUUAUCCGGAUUUAUUGGGUUUAAAGGGAGCGUAGAUGGGUUGUUAAGUCAGUUGUGAAAGUUUGCGGCUCAACCGUAAAAGUGCAAUUGAUACUGGCAGUCUUGAGUACAGUUGAGGUAGGCGGAAUUCGUGGUGUAGCGGUGAAAUGCUUAGAUAUCACGAAGAACCCCGAUUGCGAAGGCAGCUUACUGAACUGUGACUGACAUUGAUGCUCGAAAGUGUGGGUAUCGAACAGGAUUAGAUACCCGAGUAGUC
Molecule: ribosomal RNA, 460 nt
Filed under: uncultured bacterium
Lineage: Bacteria
Description: partial 16S ribosomal RNA
Rfam family: Bacterial small subunit ribosomal RNA
Source: RNAcentral